GACGAACGCUGGCGGCGUGCUUAACACAUGCAAGUCGAACGAUGAAGCCGGAGCUUGCUCUGGUGGAUUAGUGGCGAACGGGUGAGUAACACGUGAGUAACCUGCCCUUGACUCUGGGAUAACUGCGGGAAACUGUAGCUAAUACCGGAUACGACCCUCGGAGGCAUCUCCUGGGGGUGGAAAGAAUUUCGGUCAAGGAUGGACUCGCGGCCUAUCAGCUAGUUGGUGAGGUAAAGGCUCACCAAGGCGACGACGGGUAGCCGGCCUGAGAGGGGGACCGGCCACACUGGGACUGGGACACGGCCCAGACUCCUGCGGGAGGCAGCAGUGGGGAAUAUUGCACAAUGGGCGCAAGCCUGAUGCAGCAACGCCGCGUGAGGGAUGACGGCCUUCGGGUUGUAAACCUCUUUUAGCAGGGAAGAAGCGAAAGUGACGGUACCUGCAGAAAAAGCACCGGCUAACUACGUGCCAGCCGCCGCCGUAA
This 484-nucleotide ribosomal RNA is filed under the name uncultured bacterium. Its description in RNAcentral is "partial 16S ribosomal RNA". It matches the Rfam family "Bacterial small subunit ribosomal RNA", at positions 28 to 523 of the family's 1533-position model. The record is from RNAcentral.